RNAcentral lists this long non-coding RNA (201 nucleotides) under Manihot esculenta (cassava). Its description in RNAcentral is "long non-coding RNA (MESC_LNC012090)". The record is from RNAcentral. Lineage: Eukaryota; Viridiplantae; Streptophyta; Magnoliopsida; Malpighiales; Euphorbiaceae.
ACGAAUAUGUUGCAUUUCAUACUUUAUUGUUGAUUGAUGUGGAUGAACGUUGGAUGAUCCAAAGCCCUCGAUCUAUGAUAUGACGAUGUGAUAUGUAUAGUACGGAAUGUAAGACCAGUGGGACCCAUUCUACGUUCGCUGGCACCAUGUAAGGGAAAGACCAGGACCCAUUCUACGUUCUGGCACAGUUGGACUGUUAUG